Molecule: ribosomal RNA, 460 nt
Filed under: uncultured bacterium
Lineage: Bacteria
Description: partial 16S ribosomal RNA
Rfam family: Bacterial small subunit ribosomal RNA
Source: RNAcentral
CCUACGGGAGGCAGCAGUGAGGAAUAUUUGUCAAUGGGCGCGAGCCUGAACCAGCCAAGUAGCGUGAAGGAUGACUGCCCUACGGGUUGUAAACUUCUUUUAUAAAGGAAUAAAGUGAGGCACGUGUGCCUUUUUGUAUGUACUUUAUGAAUAAGGAUCGGCUAACUCCGUGCCAGCAGCCGCGGUAAUCCGGAGGAUCCGAGCGUUAUCCGGAUUUAUUGGGUUUAAAGGGAGCGUAGAUGGGUUGUUAAGUCAGUUGUGAAAGUUUGCGGCUCAACCGUAAAAUUGCAAUUUAAACUGGCAGGCUUGAGUACAGUUGAGGUAGGUGGAAUUCGUGGUGUAGCGGUGAAAUGCUUAGAUAUCACGAAGAACUCCGAUUGCGAAGGCAGCUUACUAAACUGCCACUGACAUUGAUGCUCGAAAGUGUGGGUAUCAAACAGGAUUAGAUACCCUAGUAGUC